GACAUCCUGAAGACUUCUGUGGGAGCAGAUGCCUAGCUGAAGCACAGCUGACAAGAGAGUCAUGAAAAAGCCAAAAGGAUCACCUGCUAAGUCCAUUUUAAAAUCAUGAUCUACAGAAAGAGACAGGGUCUUGCUCCAUCACCCAGGCUGGAGUUCAGUGGCAUAUUCACAGCUCGCUGCAGCUUUCACCUUCCAGGUUCAAGUUGUCUUCCCACCUCAGCCUCCCAAGUAGCUGGGACCACAGGAGGAAAUCUCUUCACUGCUGGCACUGACAAUGGAAGACUGAGGGUGCCCGGGAUCCUUCACCCCCACAUCCAGUGAGUCCACGGAACCCAGGGUAACUGGGAUGGUAUCUGAAAAAAUCCAAAUCUGUU
RNAcentral lists this long non-coding RNA (374 nucleotides) under Homo sapiens (human). RNAcentral's name for it is "HSALNT0408208". Lineage: Eukaryota; Metazoa; Chordata; Mammalia; Primates; Hominidae. The record is from RNAcentral.